RNAcentral lists this ribozyme (116 nucleotides) under Aedes aegypti (yellow fever mosquito). Its description in RNAcentral is "drz-agam-1 ribozyme". It matches the Rfam family "drz-agam-1 ribozyme". The record is from Rfam by way of RNAcentral. Lineage: Eukaryota; Metazoa; Arthropoda; Insecta; Diptera; Culicidae.
UGCCCACCAACUUCUAUCCCUAUUUCCUCGCGGUACUGGCUGGGAUACGAGUAACCUGGGGGAAGAUCGAGUAACCAGCCCCGGUGGGAACUUUGGUCGUAUGCUGUUAGGGGGGG